CGAGACGGUGGCUCAAAGUACUGUUAGCUAAUUUAUUGAUUUGUUAUGAGAUAAAAAUAUUAUUGAAUAACAAAUAAUUUCAAGCGACCACAACUUGCAAUAGGGCAUCAUGCAUGCUGCCAUACUGCACCUAACCUCUCGAGGGUGAAAUGAAUUGGCCCGUUCUGAACUGCUGCCCACCAUCCCUGGGCUGAUGCAGUAUGUAGACGCGUACGGUAUAAUCUGAUCCCACGGACGGCCUCUCUAACCAACUUCUCCAAUGCCAA
RNAcentral lists this long non-coding RNA (266 nucleotides) under Sorghum bicolor (sorghum). Its description in RNAcentral is "long non-coding RNA (SBIC_LNC001742)". The record is from RNAcentral. Lineage: Eukaryota; Viridiplantae; Streptophyta; Magnoliopsida; Poales; Poaceae.